This 327-nucleotide ribosomal RNA is filed under the name uncultured Chloroflexota bacterium. RNAcentral's name for it is "bacterial SSU rRNA". It matches the Rfam family "Bacterial small subunit ribosomal RNA", at positions 28 to 351 of the family's 1533-position model. The record is from RNAcentral. Lineage: Bacteria; Bacillati; Chloroflexota.
GAUGAACGCUGGCGGCGUGCCUAAUACAUGCAAGUCGAACGGAGAACAUCGUAGCAAUACUUUGUUCUUAGUGGCGAACGGGUGAGUAACGCGUUGGUGACCUGCCCCGAAGAGGGGGAUAACAGUCCGAAAGGACUGCUAAUACCCUAUGUGGUCUCAGGGAUUAGAUGCCCUGAGUCUAAAGGAGUAAUCCACUUUGGGAGGGACCUGCGUCCCAUCAGCUAGUUGGUAAGGUAACGGCCUACCAAGGCUUCGACGGUAGGGGGCCUGAGAGGGUGGCCCCCCACAUUGGCACUGACACACGGGCCAAACACCUACGGGUGGCAG